Molecule: RNA transcript, 3583 nt
Organism: Hemibagrus wyckioides
Lineage: Eukaryota; Metazoa; Chordata; Actinopteri; Siluriformes; Bagridae
Exons: 4
Source: RefSeq, a predicted model, not a curated record
ACUUACAGCAGACUACAAGUGCCAAAAAAUAAAGUAAAGCUUCACUUCCUGUCUGUUCCCGUUGGCAAAAAAUAGGCAUCCUGAAAAAUUCAAUUUCCUUACAUUUCAUUCUGUCAUCGGAAUUAAGUCGUUCUAAUAUAGAUACGGGGAAACACUGAUGAGGCCCAGAAAGCCUAACUGGUCUACAGAGCAGAAGCUGCUGUUGGUGCAGCUAGUGAAAGCCAGAAGAGAAGGUCUACUGACUGGCAGGCAUUCUUGCCGUGAGACCGCAACCAACCGGAGAUGGGCAUGGGAUGAAAUUGCAGAGGAAAUCUCCACUGCCCACCCUGAUGUACCCCGUACAGGAAAGGAGUGUGAGAGACACUGGUUUAUAGAGCAAGCCAAAGCCAGAGAGGCUAUGGUAAACCAAAAGUCACCUACAGAUCCCCUGUCCCAGCUGAAGAGAAGAAGCUCUAUAGCAUGAAGCUGCCACCACCGUGCUUCACUGUGGGUUUUAUUUUUCAAAAAUAAAUAUUUAAAAAAAAUUAUAAGGUACUGCGUACUCUUUAAGUAUUAUUGGUUUGUUUGUGUGUUUGUGUGAGAGAAUGCCAGCUGGACUAGUGAAUAGAAUAACAUCUGAUUUAUAAAACAAGGGACAUGGGAUGCCAUGUAUGAGUGUUUUCAGUGCAUGUCACUCACCAACCAGGCUAAUAAAGGAGCUUUGUUUCAGUGGAGGUAAGCUAGUUUUUGUCAGUGCAUUCAUUAUUGCUUGGUGCCGAAUCCAACCCUAGAUAAUAUAAUUUUUUAUACCAGAACGUAAUAAAAUUUUACAUCUUGUUAAGUCCAUUAUGCUUCUUCUUCUUCUUUCGGCUUUUCCCUUCAAGGAUCGCCACAGUGAAUCAUCUCUCUCUGCCUAUCCCUAUCUUCUGCAUCCUCAACACUUACACCCACUAGCUUCAUAUUCUCAUUUAUUACAUUCAUAUACCUCCUCUUUGACCUUCCUCUUUUCCUUCUGCCUGGCAGCUCCAUGUCCAACAUUCUCCUACCAAUAUACUCACUCUCCCUCCUCUGGACAUGUCCAAACCAUCUUAAUCUGGCCUCUCUAACUUUGUCCCCCAAACGUCCAACAUGAGUUGUCCCUCUGAUGUACUCGUUCCUAAUCCUGUCCAACCUUGUCACUCCCAAAGAGAACCUCAACAUCUUCAGCUCUGCUGCCUCCAGCUCUGACUCCUGUCUCUGUCUCAGUGAUACUGUCUCUAAACCAUACAGCAUGACCGGUCUCACCACUGUUUUGUACACCUUCCCCUUGAUUCUCGCUGAAAUUUUUCUAUCACACAGAACUCCCGACACUUUCCAACCUGCCUGCACUCGCUUCUUUAUGUCUUAUGUUAAGUCUAUUAUGCUAAUUUAGCUAAUUCACUUCCAUAAAAUAACAUAUGAAAGUCUCUACCUUUUCAUAAAACUACCACAAACAACUGCAAUGUAUUUCUUCUGAUUUGCUCCCACACAGCUUAAUUGUAAUUUUUUCACCUUUCAGUCAGUCCAAAAUAAAUAAUGCCUUGAACAAUGCUAUCCAUCAAAAAAAACCCUGCUUUUUCUUCGCAGAGAUUUGUGAUUGUCAGUCACAGGCACAAAUCAUGCCAUUUGUAACGUGAAAAAGUGAGAGGGACAGAAUUACUUGCCUGCAAAAAUGCCAGCAUACAACCAUAACACAAACGUAUUUAAUAUUGCUUCACUAAACAUGAAGGUAAAAGUGCAAAACUCAUCAGAUAAGGUUAAAACAUAAACAGUUUCCUAGUUUUAAUAAGCACAUUUUCUAUUAUUUAUAUUAAUAGUGAUUUACUGUGGGAAUGUAGGCACUAUAUAGGAUAUACAGUGUCGUUGUUAUACCCUGUGUAUAGAGCAAAUAGUGGAGGGAUGCCAACUGCGAUUCAGCUUAACUUCUAGGUUUUGAAAGUUACUUGCUUGUAAUUGCUGGUUUAUAUAGCUUAUAAUGUUAUGCUAAAGAGUGUGAAUUUCAGCUGGUUAUCUAGUGAGCAUUAACCCAGAUUGAAAACUGAGGCACAGUUACAAAUUAACCAGUCAGUCCGGCCAAAAAUAGGUCUCUCACUGCUAAAGAUUUGGAAUAGCACACUCAGCACAACAUGAAAGCCGCUCCACCCUCAGGUCCUUAGAGUGUUUGAGUUCGUGUUUAGCAGCGGUUCCAAUUUAAAACUGAUUUCUGAAUUUUUAAACUUUCAUGACAAUAUUGAGUAGAUGUCUCCUUUUGAUUUGAAUGUCUGUGGAUAUAUGUGUACUUUUUUGUUGCAGAACAUGCCAAUCCAGUGACCAAACUAGUGCUGGAAAUCCUCAAGCUACAGAAAAAGGACAUAGAGUUUAGAGACAGGCUUGACGAAGACAGUACAAGCUGUCAAGAAGGGGAGGAGGAACAAAUGGAGGUGAAAUAUGUUCCAACUGCAGUAACACCUUUUAUAAACAUUGAGGUGCCACUAAAUCACACAAAUAAUAAUAGUGAAGACAAUGCUCCGGCCAGUCCUCUAUGCCCACUAUCACCUUCUGCAGAAAAAAAGACACUAGAGAUAUCUGUUCUUCGCCGCCAAGAACGCGUGUUACAAUUACAGGAGGAAUACUAUUCCCUCAAAAUCAAGCAUCUCAAAGCACGGAUGUUGAUGAACCUUUGAUGGGACAGUGAUGCCAUGUGGAAAAAAAAGACUGUUUUUCUCUUUUAGAAAACACUAGGAAUUUUAGGUCUAGAUUUCUGUUGUCAUAGCUGUGGCUUCGAUUACCUGUUGAAUCAAAAGCUGAUCAUAUGGACCACAAUUCUGUUGAUUUAGUCUUCAGAGGAACAGAAUGAAUCCUUGAUGUGUUGUACCCUGUAUGUGUGUACUUCAUGAGAAAUUGUCUGGCACAGUAUAAUCCAGUAUUUGAUAUGACACCUUUUCACCAGUAGAUGACAAGAUAGUAUUUUAUCUUCUAACUUGUAACACUGCAUUUACAAUGUGGACAUCCAGGUAAGCACUGUAUAGACACUACUGUUAUCUGCUGAUCUGAGGUCUGUCUGCCUAAUUAGAGCUAAUAAGGUUUAAAUAUCCAACUGGUUUUAGAUGUGAACUUAUGAGCAAUAUCUACUUAAAGGCAGGAGACAGAAUUCGAAAGGUUUUCGAGGUCGAACAAGGAGUCUGUAGUUUGCAGGCCAAGUUUAGUGCUGCACUGACAAACACUUUAAAAUAAUAACAUAUAAAAACUAUAUUUCUCUUUAUGUUCUCUGUGAGAGGCUGUGAUGCUAUUUUUGAUGUUAUAGGUGUUCCACUGCAAAUCUUGUUAAAUAAUGGUCCUGUUCAGACCUGGUAUUUACACCAUCUCAGGUGAUACAAUCAUAAGCUGUCAACUGAGAAUGAUAACUGUUCACACACCUGCUAAUUCUGUGUUUCAAUUUUGUGUUCAGUGAACACUUGGAAUUUGUUAGUCCCUGGGUUGCCAAUUCUGUCAAAAGCAAGCCAACAUCAGUUCAAAACCAAACCUAAAAAUACUAGCCAAUGCCAAAUGAAAACAUUUUCCAGUGUUAUUUCCUAAAUAAACCAUCAAACACUGAGGGUCUAUAAAA